RNAcentral lists this unclassified non-coding RNA (240 nucleotides) under soil metagenome. Its description in RNAcentral is "partial contains 5.8S ribosomal RNA, internal transcribed spacer 2, and large subunit ribosomal RNA". The record is from RNAcentral.
AACAUCGCGCACCUGCGGGAACCUGCGGAGGGAUCAUUACGAAAUUCUCGGGGGGUGCGGCCUGUCCCGGCCUGCGCCCCCGCUGGAAGCGCCGGAAGGCGCCUGACAGCGCAACCCUUUGUGAAAUUCCCCCGUUGCUUCGGCAGCCCCUCCCAAGGAGCGGUAAGCCUGCCGGCGGCAUUGUGGAAACUCAUCCUGAAAACCUGCACCCUCUGUCUGAACAGCGCAGUCGAAUGACUA